RNAcentral lists this long non-coding RNA (377 nucleotides) under Olea europaea subsp. europaea. Lineage: Eukaryota; Viridiplantae; Streptophyta; Magnoliopsida; Lamiales; Oleaceae. The record is from RNAcentral.
GGUAUGUGGUAGGUGUGGUUCGAGGGGGCAGGGGAUAAAUGAUGGUCGGUGGGGGUGAAAGCAUGUUAGGUGAGACUAUGAGAAGUACAUGACUCAAUUAAUAUCAAGAGUUUUGCUACAGAUACUCGGAGUUUGAUACUUCAGGCUACCUGCUACUCACAUGGGGGUUGGAGGCUCCACGCCAAUAAAUGUAUAGAGCCCGACCUCCUCACUCACAUCAGGUGACUGGAGUGUCAAACUCCGAGCACAAAUAACAAACCUCUAAUAUCAAUUAUAUGAGAGAAAUCCAAGAAGACACUCCGAGUACAAAUAACAAAACUCUAAUAUCAAUUAUAUGAGAGAAAAUCCAAGAAAAGCCAUAUAUACAGGUCGGUUCU